UAGCUAUGAUGAUAUUUGCGCUUCUUGUGGCAGUUGGGUCCGCCACUAUUGUCUGAUCAUGCGGACGAAGCAACAGCGCAUCUGAGCUC
Molecule: non-coding RNA, 89 nt
Organism: Spinacia oleracea (spinach)
Lineage: Eukaryota; Viridiplantae; Streptophyta; Magnoliopsida; Caryophyllales; Amaranthaceae
Source: Rfam